This 585-nucleotide ribosomal RNA is filed under the name uncultured bacterium. Its description in RNAcentral is "partial 16S ribosomal RNA". It matches the Rfam family "Bacterial small subunit ribosomal RNA", at positions 355 to 1375 of the family's 1533-position model. The record is from RNAcentral.
CUAAGAAUAUUCCGCAAUGGACGGAAGUCUGACGGAGCGACGCCGCGUGGAUGACGAAGGCCGAAAGGUUGUAAAGUUCUUUUGCUGGGGAAGAAUAACCGCAGGAGGGAAUGCCUGUGGGAUGACAAGAACCGGCGAAUAAGCCCCGGCCAACUACGUGCCAGCAGCCGCGGUAACACGUAGGGGGGCGAGCGUUGUUCGGAAUUACUGGGCGUAAAGGGCAUGUAGGCGGCUUGGAAAGCCUGGCGUGAAAGUCUGCAGCUUAACUGCAGGGGUGCGCUGGGAACUGCUGAGCUUGAGUGACGGAGAGGGAGCUGGAAUUCCUGGUGUAGGGGUGAAAUCUGUAGAUAUCAGGAAGAACACCGAUGGCGAAGGCAAGCUCCUGGCCGAUGACUGACGCUGAGGUGCGAAAGUGUGGGGAUCAAACAGGAUUAGAUACCCUGGUAGUCCACACAGUCAACGAUGUGCACUAGGUGCUGGGGCGGUAGCUUCGGUGCCGGAGCGAACGUGGUGAAGUGCACCGCCUGGGGAGUAUGCUCGCAAGGGUGAAACUUAAAUGAAUUGACGGGGUCAUAGCUGUUUCCU